Molecule: long non-coding RNA, 236 nt
Filed under: Elaeis guineensis (African oil palm)
Lineage: Eukaryota; Viridiplantae; Streptophyta; Magnoliopsida; Arecales; Arecaceae
Description: long non-coding RNA (EGUI_LNC055900)
Source: RNAcentral
UAGUACACAUACAUAUACUAAACAUUAUAUGUAGUACUAGCAAUAAGAAAGAAUAAAAAUCUAAUAAUACUUCUAUAGAGUUUGUGAUCAAUACUUUUACUAUUCUCAUCUUUGUCAAGUUUAUAUGAAGAGCUCAUAGGCAUGCCAAGAGGAUCUUUGAUGAGAAAAAAAUUUAGCUCUCCUAUUAUACUCAUCUCAAACUCUCUCUGCAUUAACUUUGAGAAUUCUUGACAAAA